UGAGUUUUUUGGGAUUUUUUCUUCACUAAUUUUAGAUAAUUAGAAUUUUAUUAAAUUGAGCCAAAAUGUUAAAAAUAAAAUUUGGGGCCAAAAUAUUAAAAAUAAAAUUUAAGAUCAAAGUGUUAAAACUAAAAUUAUUGGAUAAAUUCAAAAAUCAUUAAUUAUUAAUCAAAUUUUAUCAAAUCUGCUCAAUAAUUAUAACUUGAUUACCUCUGCUCAAUUUUAAAACCUUGUUGUCACUCAUAAUUUAUUGCAGCUUCUUUCUGUUCUUCUUCAUAAUAACGAUGCCGUCGGCGAAACCCUUUGCAGGCAUGCUCCGUGCCCGUCUUAGUUCGGGCUCCGAACAAGAGGAGGACACGGCCCGAACCCGUUUACUACGCCGGGCCACCAAGAACGGCCCAACGGGUACCUGUUCAACCGGCCUCCACCACCAGUUGGUCAGUCCAGGAAAUGGGAAGAUUGGGAACUCUCUUGCUACGUCACCAGCUUCCUCACUAUAGUUAUCCUUGGUGUGGGCCUUAAUGCUAAGCCCGAUCUCACCCUUGAAACUUGGGCCCACAAAGAAGCUCUUAAACGACUCCAACUCGAAUCCUCUUCUUCCCAGGUCCAAUCUGUCGAUGCUGACUGAUCUUUCUUCAUCUCUAUAUCUCUGCUUCUGGGGUUAAGAUGAAAAGGGUAUAGUAUUUCUUCUUUGGUGGAUGAUGCCGAAAAUAAAUGUUAACUAUUGACUUGAAAAAUUGUUCCUUUUUACUGCUAAUUUUGGAUGCUUACUGCAGCAAUUAUAAUGCUUUCUUGCAGGGACAAUUGACAUUCUUUUCAAAUUUUUUUUUUUGGAGUUUGUGUCUCUUUGCUUUAUAAGUACUCCCUCUGUCCCAAUUUUAAGUGUCUUAGUUUGAUUAGGCACAAAGUUUUAAGAAUAAAAGAGGCUUUUGAAUUUUGUUGUCCUAAAUUAAAGACGUAUGUAAUGUACUAAAAUAUCCUUUGAAUCUUGUGAUUUUAAACUUGCCAUAUAGUAUGUUUGAAUUGUAAAUUUACUAAAUAUAGAAAGAGACACUCUUUAUGGGGCAAACCAAAGAGGAAAGUAAGACACUUAAAUAAUUGGGACGGAGGGAGUAUUAUUUUAAAGAUUAUGUUACGAUCUGCUCAUGCUUACUGGUUAGCCUACUUUAGUUGUGUUGAUAAGAUCGGUAGCAAUUCGUUAUAAAAUAUACUUGCUUGGUAGCUAGGCGUGUCAAAUUUGUAGGAUGAUAGGCAGCUACACUAUGUGCACACAAUCAUACAUAUGCACUGGUUUAACAAUUAUGUUGGCAAGAAAACUGCAUUCAAAAGGGUGAAGGAUCAUGCGACUCCUAGUAAUCUCGCUUUACAAGCUUUUUCAUUUAUUAGCUAGUGUUAUAAUUACGAAUGGUAGCUAUGUAUUACUUGAGAUGUGAUGCGCUGCUAAGAAUGAUUUUGCUUUCUUCAGUCUCUUAUUUUGGAUAGUGUGGAAUAACUUUAUUGAUGAUAGAAGAGUUCUAGCUACAGCAAUAUACUACAAAGUGAGAACCUACAAGAACAUAUGGUUCUCUAUGAAGAUAAUCUUCGAUAAAAAUUGGAAUGAUCUUGCGUUUUUCACUUUUUAAGUUAUUCUUCCAUUUUAGUACCUCUGUCCCGCAGUAAGAUUGUUUCUUGAAUGUCUGGGCUUUGAAGUAGAGUCGUCUGUUUGAUGGGUGAGCAGAGUUGUUCAAGCGAUGGGGACCCGCACACCAAGGGUCUUGCUACAUGUCUCUAAUUCUGCUUGCUAUUUAGUUGGUUUUCAUGUAUGAACAAGGUCGAGGCUAAGAGUUGGAACACCUCUUGUAUGAAGUCGCAAGGAUAUACUGCUUUUAUGCCAUAACUUGAGUUGGUUGACUCUAAGAGGCUUCAAUUGUCAAGUACUUGUGGGUUUGAGAAUAGCCAUGUUGGUUAGGAUGUCCGUGUUUGGCUGAAGUUCUUAUAAGAUCAAAGACUUGCUAAGUCUCAGAUGACAGAAUUGUUGGAUGAAAGGGUCGAAUCAAAUGCGAAGUUCAGUCUCAUUACAUGCCCUAUUUGCUCACUACAGUUUCCAUCCAUCCCCAUCAAGGUGGAACUUUUCAUGUCUAAAUUGGUUAAAAUACUCCAUUUAUCGGAUUUUAUUUUAUUUUUAUUUUUUGAUUAAGCACCGGGUGUCCGGGUCUCUUUGAGCCCCGACUAAUCCCGGGGGUGCACAGGCCCUCGGCAAGGAGUUUCCCGCAAGUGCACCACGGGUAAUUCAGGGUUUUACCCUAGUCCGAUGGCCCUCAGAAAUUGUUUGCACCCAGUGGGUUUCGAACUUGAGACCUUGAAAGGGAGCACCCCAAGGUUCAAGCCAAUUACCACCAGGCUUUCACCUCCUAUGGUGUUGGGGGGUUUGGAAUGACCUCUAUCUUGUAUAUUUGAUUCCAAAAGGAGAAUACAUGAAGGAGGGGGAUAUGGAGCCUUACCUCCUCAAAAAUUAUGUAUGGUGUUGGACAUAUCCAACCCUUUACUAUUGGGAUGAUUCAGGGAUAGAAGGUAGUUAACAUAAGCUACUUCACAUAAAUGUAACAUUGUCUAUGCUAGCUUCCAGAUUGUCUGUGUUUCUCAAGGCAUUUUGGUUAAAAGAUGAAUCCCUUUUAUCGGGAAAAGUUUUUGGACAACAAAAGAUAGAAAAGAAACUUUUCUAUUACGGAGUAAAUUCUAAAAGAAGAAGCAGUAGAACACCAUGACUGUUGGGGAUGAUCAUCAAUAGAAAGUGUGUCUUCUUGUGUCUUGCCUUGCUCUAAAGUUUGGCAUUUGCAUUUGAUCCAUUCUCAUCUUCCCUUUUGUGUCUCUAGGCAGUUCCAUAAUGCAAUAAUACAUGUUUACAUCUUCCUGUUAAUAGCUACCAGUUUUGAAAAGGGAAUCAGCAACAGAAUUUGCCCGUCUAUAGCAAGCUCCAAAUAUUGAUUAUGGUCAACCAGAAGUAGCAAUAAGCAUCUCAUCCCUCAAAUUUGGCGACAAUAUUGAUAAUGAGGUACUUCUAUGCACGCGGAUUAUGACUAACCAAGUGGUGAACAUGUGAUGGUUUCUUAAUGGUUACGUCAAGCCCACGUUUCCGAAUACAUUAUGCUGGGGAACUCUGCAUGCUGAAGCAAUCACUUUUAUUAAAACUUUGAAAUUUGUUACGUCUAAAGUUUGGAUUAUGUGAGUUGUCUCAGAAAAGACACGUCUAAUUCUUAUGUUCUGGGAUAGAUCAACUAAUUAUUUAUGCACAAAUGUGGGGCAUCUGUAAAUGCAGUUAGUGUACAUUGUGUUUAGAAACUUAUUGUUUAGCACAUGUGGUGUUGCACUUUUAUCUAUCUAUUCGACAUGUCUCUCGAAAUUAUUUUCCUGCACGGAUAUAAUCUGAAAUCCUGCAACUUUUACGGUCAAUUGGCCUAUAUAAUAGUUGUACACCAUAAUUACUUUGAACAAAAUGGGAUCAAUCUGAGCCAAUUUGUUUGAUGUAAGGCCUGUUUCUUUAAACA
Lycium barbarum (goji berry) is the source of this 3524-nucleotide long non-coding RNA. RefSeq lists it as uncharacterized. The record is from RefSeq and is a predicted model, not a curated record. Lineage: Eukaryota; Viridiplantae; Streptophyta; Magnoliopsida; Solanales; Solanaceae. The transcript has 2 exons.